This 399-nucleotide ribosomal RNA is filed under the name uncultured bacterium. RNAcentral's name for it is "bacterial SSU rRNA". It matches the Rfam family "Bacterial small subunit ribosomal RNA", at positions 8 to 414 of the family's 1533-position model. The record is from RNAcentral.
AGAGUUUGAUCCUGGCUCAGAAUGAACGUUGGCGGCGUGCCUAACACAUGCAAGUCGAGCGUGAAAGUCCUUCGGGAUGAGUAAAGCGGCGGACGGGUGAGUAACGCGUGAGAAUUUACCUUUUAGUGGAGAAUACCUUUGAGAAAUCAAAGUUAAUACUGCAUACGUCUCGAAAGAGAGAAAGAUGGCCUAAUUGCUGUCGCUAGAAGAUAAGCUUGCGUUCUAUUAGUUAGUUGGUGAGGUAAUGGCUCACCAAGACGAUGAUGGAUAGCCGGCCUGAGAGGGCGAACGGCCACAUUGGAACUUAGACACGGUCCAAACUCCUACGGGAGGCAGCAGUGAGGAAUAUUGCACAAUGGGCGAAAGCCUGAUGCAGCGACGCCGCGUGGAGGAUGAAGG